RNAcentral lists this small RNA (29 nucleotides) under Bombyx mori (domestic silkworm). Its description in RNAcentral is "ovarian small RNA-8110". Lineage: Eukaryota; Metazoa; Arthropoda; Insecta; Lepidoptera; Bombycidae. The record is from RNAcentral.
UGACCUUUACUGAGCACUUUUGUCAGGAC